RNAcentral lists this ribosomal RNA (442 nucleotides) under uncultured bacterium. RNAcentral describes it as "partial 16S ribosomal RNA". It matches the Rfam family "Bacterial small subunit ribosomal RNA", at positions 339 to 795 of the family's 1533-position model. The record is from RNAcentral.
CUACGGGCGGCUGCAGUGGGGAAUAUUGGGCAAUGGGGGAAACCCUGACCCAGCAACGCCGCGUGAAGGAAGAAGGCUUUCGGGUUGUAAACUUCUUUGACGAGGGACGAAUAAAUGACGGUACCUCGAAAACAAGCCACGGCUAACUACGGUGCCAGCAGCCGCGGUAAUACGUAGGUGGCAAGCGUUGUCCGGAUUUACUGGGUGUAAAGGGCGCGUAGGCGGGAGCGCAAGUCAGAUGUGAAAUCUGGGGGCUUAACCCUCAAACUGCAUUUGAAACUGUGUUUCUUGAGUGAUGGAGAGGCAGGCGGAAUUCCUAGUGUAGCGGUGAAAUGCGUAGAUAUUAGGAGGAACACCAGUGGCGAAGGCGGCCUGCUGGACAUUAACUGACGCUGAGGCGCGAAAGCGUGGGGAGCAAACAGGAUUAGAUACCCUAGUAGUC